This 393-nucleotide ribosomal RNA is filed under the name Triticum aestivum (bread wheat). RNAcentral describes it as "partial small subunit ribosomal RNA". Lineage: Eukaryota; Viridiplantae; Streptophyta; Magnoliopsida; Poales; Poaceae. The record is from RNAcentral.
AUGAUUCAGCGGCACAUCGAUUCUGAAUCAAAAAAUCUCUGCCUGCUGCAGCCUUCACCUCCCUCCCGCAUGGGCUCCGCAUCUAGCGCCUGGAGCACAACGCAUCUGCCAGCCGAUGUCGACGACACUAAUGGAGAGGGCGAGGUCGUCCAGCAAGAUGAGUCUGUCCACCGGCCUCUCACCCAUGAUUUGGGCAGCAUGGUGGGGCAAGAUUCACGGGAAGAAGGAUUUGGUGAUUACGAUCCAGCUGCUGCUCCGGAUUCGCCGCGUAGCACUGGUAGUUCUGCCGUCGACGACCAAUCUGGUGUCAUGUGUGGUGGCAACGUGGAAGACUCUGAAGAUGAGGAGGACAUUAUCAGCAUGCUGCCUAAACACCGCUGUAUAAUAGACUAG